Molecule: ribosomal RNA, 274 nt
Filed under: uncultured bacterium
Lineage: Bacteria
Description: partial 16S ribosomal RNA
Rfam family: Bacterial small subunit ribosomal RNA
Source: RNAcentral
AUACGGAGGGUCCAAGCGUUAUCCGGAAUCAUUGGGUUUAAAGGGUCCGCAGGCGGUCAAUUAAGUCAGAGGUGAAAACCCAUCGCUCAACGAUGGAACUGCCUUUGAUACUGGUUGACUUGAGUUAUACGGAAGUAGAUAGAAUAAGUAGUGUAGCGGUGAAAUGCAUAGAUAUUACUUAGAAUACCGAUUGCGAAGGCAGUCUACUACGUAUAUACUGACGCUGAGGGACGAAAGCGUGGGGAGCGAACAGGAUUAGAUACCCUAGUAGUCC